UCUCCGUAGGUGAACCUGCGGAAGGAUCAUUAUUGUAUAAGCGCGCUGCGGGGGCUUUUGCUGACCCCAAAGCUCGUGCACGCCCGAAUGCCCUCCCACACAUCCAUCUCACCCCUAUGUGCACCACCGCAUGGGUCCCCCACUGACUUCUUUGGAUGGAGGCUUAUGUUUUCACACAAUCAUUGUAUACAAUGGAGAAUUUAUUUUUUGUUUUUGCGAACACGCAAUCAAUACAACUGUCCACAACUGAGCUCUUGGCUCUCCCAUCGAUGAAGAACG
Molecule: unclassified non-coding RNA, 279 nt
Filed under: plant metagenome
Description: partial contains small subunit ribosomal RNA, internal transcribed spacer 1, and 5.8S ribosomal RNA
Source: RNAcentral